CCUACGGGUGGCUGCAGUCGAGAAUCUUCGGCAAUGGGCGAAAGCCUGACCGAGCAAUGCCGCGUGCGGGAUGAAGGCCCUCGGGUUGUAAACCGCUGUCGUAGGGGAGAAAGGUCCGCUGAAGAAGCGGAUUUGAUCUAUCCUAGGAGGAAGUCGGGGCUAAGUUCGUGCCAGCAGCCGCGGUAACACGAACCCGACGAACGUUAUUCGGAAUUAUUGGGCUUAAAGGGUGCGUAGGCGGUGCGGUAAGUGAGGUGUGAAAUCCCUCGGCUCAACCGAGGAAUUGCGCUUCAUACUGCCGUGCUGGAGGGAGACAGGGGUAAGCGGAACUGAUGGUGGAGCGGUGAAAUGCGUUGAUAUCAUCAGGAACACCGGUGGCGAAAGCGGCUUACUGGGUCUUCUCUGACGCUGAGGCACGAAAGCUAGGGUAGCGAACGGGA
Molecule: ribosomal RNA, 440 nt
Filed under: uncultured bacterium
Lineage: Bacteria
Description: bacterial SSU rRNA
Rfam family: Bacterial small subunit ribosomal RNA
Source: RNAcentral